GACGAACGCUGGCGGCGUGCCUAAUACAUGCAAGUUGGGCGCUGAAGGUUGGUACUUGUACCAACUGGAUGAGCAGCGCACGGGUGAGUAACGCGUGGGGAAUCUGCCUUUGAGCGGGGGACAACAUUUGGAAACGAAUGCUAAUACCGCAUAAAAACUUUAAACACAAGUUUUAAGUUUGAAAGAUGCAAUUGCAUCACUCAAAGAUGAUCCCGCGUUGUAUUAGCUAGUUGGUGAGGUAAAGGCUCACCAAGGCGAUGAUACAUAGCCGACCUGAGAGGGUGAUCGGCCACAUUGGGACGGAGACACGGCCCAAACUCCUACGGGAGGCAGCAGGAGGGAAUCUUCGGCAAUGGACGAAAGUCUGACCGAGCAACGCCGCGUGAGUGAAGAAGGUUGUCGGAUCGUAAAACUCGGUUGGUAGAGAAGAACGUUGGUGAGAGUGGAAAGCUCAUCAAGUGACGGUAACUACCCAGAAAGGGACGGCUAACUACGUG
RNAcentral lists this ribosomal RNA (497 nucleotides) under uncultured bacterium. RNAcentral describes it as "partial 16S ribosomal RNA". It matches the Rfam family "Bacterial small subunit ribosomal RNA", at positions 28 to 507 of the family's 1533-position model. The record is from RNAcentral.